Molecule: ribosomal RNA, 497 nt
Filed under: uncultured bacterium
Lineage: Bacteria
Description: partial 16S ribosomal RNA
Rfam family: Bacterial small subunit ribosomal RNA
Source: RNAcentral
GAUGAACGCUGGCGGCGUGCCUAAUACAUGCAAGUCGAGCGAACGGACGAGAAGCUUGCUUCUCUGAUGUUAGCGGCGGACGGGUGAGUAACACGUGGAUAACCUACCUACAAGACUGGGAUAACUUCGGGAAACCGGAGCUAAUACCGGAUGAUAUUUUGAACCGCAUGGUUCAAAAGUGAAAGACGGUCUUGCUGUCACUUAUAGAUGGAUCCGCGCUGCAUUAGCUAGUUGGUAAGGUAACGGCUUACCAAGGCAACGAUGCAUAGCCGACCUGAGAGGGUGAUCGGCCACACUGGAACUGAGACACGGUCCAGACUCCUACGGGUGGCAGCAGUAGGGAAUCUUCCGCAAUGGGCGAAAGCCUGACGGAGCAACGCCGCGUGAGUGAUGAAGGUCUUCGGAUCGUAAAACUCUGUUAUUAGGGAAGAACAUAUGUGUAAGUAACUGUGCACAUCUUGACGGUACCUAAUCAGAAAGCCACGGCUAACUACGUG